AUUGACAGCUUUUAACAAGUUAUUAUACUCCUAUGAACAAAAUUUGGAGCAUAUUUGUUUCUCUCUGCCUGAUUUCUCCUGAAUUUGGAAACUAUUUUGCCAUGGUCUCCAUGAACUGAUUUUUUUGUGCAGUGGGCAGGAAGAACCCAUCGGGCAGCUACACAUCUUGAAAGAGAAGCUCUUCCUGUGAGGCAAGUAUUGUUCCUGUACAAAACAGGCUGCCGGGUGCCGUAUGGGAGCGCCGCCUCCAGGUGAGCCAUCCUGGGUUCCAGUCCAGCCUCUAUUCACUUCAGGAUCUGGAGUAUUACGGACCACGAGAGAUGCAGAAAUGGAGCACAGGCGGUGAGCCAAGGACACCCGAGGCUGAGUGCAGUUGCAUGAUCUCGGCUCACCACAACCUCUGCCUCCCGGAUUCAAGAGACUCUCCUGCCUCAGCCUCCCAAGUGGCUGGGAUUACGGUGUCUUGAUGGGAUGUCUCUCUUUGGCACCCUUUGGGAUAUGACUCUGAACUCUGCCUUCUGGCUGCAGUCCCCUCAACUCUGGAUGGAGCUCUAUUAUUUUUGUGUGGGGGUGGGGGCUUAUCUCCUGAGCCAGCCUCUGCUUGUCAGAACACACUCUUCCUGCAAGCAUGGUUUCCACGGGCCCCUGCUAUGGCAGCCACAGCCUCACAUCGUGAAGAACACACUCUUCCUGCAAGCACGGUUUCCACGCUCCCCUGCUGUGGCAGCCACAGCCUCACAUCAUGAGGAUGAUACGCAGCCAUUCAAGGGAUAACCUCUAAGGACAGCCUGGCAUGUCUGAACUCACUUCUCUUCCCACUGCCAGUUGAGCCUUGCCUUCUAGCUCAGUCAGCACUGGGAGACUAGGCUACUCAAUCUGGUGGUCUUUUGUUUCCAGCUCUCCCCAAUAUCCCUAUUGUGCAUUCCUCAUGCCCCAUACUCUCCUUGACUUCCCCU
RNAcentral lists this long non-coding RNA (956 nucleotides) under Homo sapiens (human). RNAcentral's name for it is "non-protein coding lnc-BDH1-5:7". The record is from RNAcentral. Lineage: Eukaryota; Metazoa; Chordata; Mammalia; Primates; Hominidae.